Molecule: long non-coding RNA, 640 nt
Filed under: Rattus norvegicus (Norway rat)
Lineage: Eukaryota; Metazoa; Chordata; Mammalia; Rodentia; Muridae
Description: long non-coding RNA NONRATT023341
Source: RNAcentral
CUUCAACAACAUGUCUGCCUAAACAAGCUCUGAAGAAGGACAACACCAAUAGAAAUGUUAAUGCGGAUAGGAGACUCUCAAGGGGACCCACUAAAGGACAAAAACUACAGGCAACUAAGAUUCUUCAUCCAUUGGCGCCUUCAGUCAGUUUCCCUCAGAGAAGAAAGAAUCCCAUUUGGUACCACCUCACCCUGGGACAUUUAGUUCUAGCUCACUGAGGUCCAACAGACAGUCCUGGUAGGGAAGGAGAUCCAAUGACAGACAAAAGAGUGCCAGGAACAAGAGCUUUAGAUGUGUCCAUGAUAACUAGGACUCCAGAGUCAAUUGUUCUCUGCAUUUGAAACAGCUGUGAUUCUCUGGAAUAGUUUCCAUUUAUUGAAAAGGUGCACUCUGGUUAGAGAAAGCUUCAAGGACAUCUUCACACCUUUCAGUGUUCAGAAAUGAAAUCAGACAGAGUAAUCUGCAAAUUGACAACUGAGAUCCUUUCGACAGACUUACACUGGGACCUGGACACCUUAAAGAACAUGAGCUGGAGCAGAGAACAUGGAGUUGGAGCAAGAGCUGAAGAUGCAGUGUCAAUCCCUUUAGUAUUUGGUUGUCAGAGACUGCAUUGACAAUGUAGGCCCAAAUCUACUUCCCA